GGAAUCUUCCACAAUGGGCGCAAGCCUGAUGGAGCAACACCGCGUGAGUGAAGAAGGGUUUCGGCUCGUAAAGCUCUGUUGUUAAAGAAGAACACGUAUGAGAGUAACUGUUCAUACGUUGACGGUAUUUAACCAGAAAGUCACGGCUAACUACGUGCAAG
Molecule: ribosomal RNA, 161 nt
Filed under: uncultured bacterium
Lineage: Bacteria
Description: partial 16S ribosomal RNA
Rfam family: Bacterial small subunit ribosomal RNA
Source: RNAcentral